This 54-nucleotide transfer RNA is filed under the name Ceroplastes japonicus. RNAcentral describes it as "tRNA-Glu". The record is from RNAcentral. Lineage: Eukaryota; Metazoa; Arthropoda; Insecta; Hemiptera; Coccidae.
AAAUUUUAAGUUUUAUUAAACAUUAUACUUUCAAUAUAAAAAAAUAAAAAUUUA